Oreochromis niloticus (Nile tilapia) is the source of this 1926-nucleotide long non-coding RNA. RefSeq lists it as uncharacterized. NCBI's taxonomy places the organism in Eukaryota, Metazoa, Chordata, Actinopteri, Cichliformes, Cichlidae. The record is from RefSeq and is a predicted model, not a curated record. The transcript is spliced from 4 exons.
AAGGUUCAUUUAGCGACUCGAUUCCACUUCCACUUAUAAAUUACUAAUUUUUACUCAGGAGUCUAAAUCGACUAUGCUGUUCACAAACAACACUGUGAUCUGUAGCGAGAGUAGAGAGUAGGGAGCAGGUGGAGGAGAGCCUGGAUAGAUGGAGGUAUGCACUGGAGAGGAGAGGAAUGAAAGUCAGUCGAAAUGAGACAGAAUACGUGUGUGAAUGAGAGGAAGACAGGUGGAAAGGUGAACAUGCAAGGAGGACAAGUGGUGAAGGUGGAUGAGUUUAAAUACCUGUGGUCAACCAUCCACAAACAGUACAGCGCACAAGAGAGGUGAAGACGAGAGUGCAGGCGGGUGGAGUGGGUGGAGAUGAGAGUCAGGGGUGAUUUGUGACAUAAGGAAAGCAGCGAGAGUGAAAGGGAAGGUUUAUUAGAUGGUAGUGAGACCUGUGAUGAUGUAUGGUUUGAAGUGAAAAAAGCGAGGAGGCUGAGCUGGAGGUGCUGAGCGAGAAAUAAGUAAAUCAGAGAGGCAGCUGAGGAUACACAGGUGUGGUUUGGACAUGCGCAGAGGAGGGAGAGUGGAUAUGAUUGGUGACAGAGUAUAGGAUAGGGUGAGAUCGAGUAGGAGCAGCGCCCUCUGCUGGUGUCUCCAGACUUGAGGGUCGGACCACGGUUUCUCCUCCUGUUUGCUUCGUUGCAGUUCUUUUACUUCCUGUCUGUGCAGGGUGGAAGAGAAGACUGUCAGCUGACACCCAGAUGAACAUCAGCCAGGGAAAGUGGAAAGUCACAGCUAUGACAUUGGCAUUUCUGGAUAUUUACACUUCAUAGCUCUGCCACAUGUUGUUUGCACACCUAAAAUAGAGCACUUUCCUAAGCUGUACAUUAAACACAGCAACACGCUCAGGACGGUCAAUGACAGAGGUCUGUACCUUUUUGUCACUCAGUCCGGACACUGUGUCGAUGUACUGCUCCUGGAUCAUAAAGGCUGCCAGGUUGGCUGUGUAGGAAGCCAGGAAGAUGACAGCAAAGAAAGCCCAGACCAGGACCAUGAUCUUGCUAGUGGUGCCCUUUGGAUUCUCAACAGGGACAGAGUUAUUGAAGACAAUUCCCCACAGCAGCCACACAGACUUCCCGAUGGUAAAGGUGGGACCUCCGGGAUCUAGAAAGGAUGAAGUCAAGAGGGGAUGAUUUAGUACAGGCCAGGACGAUGACCCAGGUGUCUGUGAAAUCUAACACAUGUUUAAAAUAUUUAAUUAUUUGUUAAUUAAUAUCUUGAUGUGUUUUUUGGUAACAUAUUAGAGAUAGUGGCCGAAAAACGGUGUCUGCAAAGAUUGCUCUUGUUUGGCUAAUAUUUGACAUUUAUCCAUUUCAUGCUGGCUGAAUAUUUAAAUAUGGUUUAAUGAAGGCCUGAAAUACUUAUUGUUCAGUCUUUUACUUCUGAUUAUAAUUGAGUUUUUCCCCCUAAUGGCUCAAUCACAGUAAACUAGAAAUAGGAAGGCAACAUCCUUGUGACUAGGGAAAAUUGGUAGUUGCCUGGUGAUUGCACAGGUUGGCUGGUGGGAGGCAACCAGUCUCCAAACAGUUACUGUACAAUUUAGAUCGACUGCAAUCACUCUGAGAUAGACUGGUGAAGAUUUGUGCAUUAUCUCAGUCAGUUUGCACCAAUGAGCCCAGUUCAUCUGUGAUGUGACUCUUUGCAAUUUGAGAACACACUGGUUGCAACUGGUAUUUGAUCAGAUUAGUAUAUACAAGCAAGGUGGCCAAGAUUGACUCUUUAUUUUCCAAAUAUUACCACCUGGACUUAUGUUGUCAUUUUCACUGUAAAAUUACAAAAUAAAUCAAAUUUUUCAGAAACGGUUUGAAAUUUCUCUGUAGCUCAAAAUGGUUGAGUUAUGGAAAUGUGAAGCACACAUAUCAUGUGCUUCCAUGAUAA